This 330-nucleotide RNase P RNA is filed under the name Burkholderiaceae bacterium. Its description in RNAcentral is "RNase P RNA component class A". It matches the Rfam family "Bacterial RNase P class A". From Rfam's summary of the family: Ribonuclease P (RNase P) is a ubiquitous endoribonuclease, found in archaea, bacteria and eukarya as well as chloroplasts and mitochondria. Its best characterised activity is the generation of mature 5'-ends of tRNAs by cleaving the 5'-leader elements of precursor-tRNAs. Lineage: Bacteria; Pseudomonadati; Pseudomonadota; Betaproteobacteria; Burkholderiales; Burkholderiaceae. The record is from RNAcentral.
GAAGCGGGCCAGACCGCCGCUGGUGCGGGGCCCGAAAGGGCGCACUGGAGGAAGGUCCGGACUGCACGGGGCAGCGUAGCGGGUAACGCCCGUCCACCGCGAGGUGCGAAUCAGAGCCACAGAGACGAGCCGGUUCAGUCCGGAGUGAAACGCGGCAAUCUUUACGCGCAGCAACACCGAAUAGGCCGGCGAUGAGGCGGCCCGCGGAGCCGGCGGGUGGGUGGCACCGAGCCGUGCAGCGAUGCACGGCCCAGAGGAAUGGCGGUCACGGCGCGGCCUUCGCAAGAGGGCCGCGGCGCACAGAAUCCGGCCUAUCGGCCCGCUUCACAC